Long non-coding RNA from Chelonoidis abingdonii (Abingdon island giant tortoise), 558 nucleotides. RefSeq lists it as uncharacterized. The record is from RefSeq and is a predicted model, not a curated record. NCBI's taxonomy places the organism in Eukaryota, Metazoa, Chordata, Testudines, Testudinidae.
GUAGUGUAUAAAUAUGCUACACCCUAACCAAAUUAAAGUGAUGAAGCUUGAACAAAUGCACAAAAAUGAGCUUGCAGGAUUGAAAAAGUGGGGAAGCUGGACACAUUGCUAAGGCUUUACCCACAUUCAGAAAGGAAGUAUCUGCAAACAGAAUCUUUUACCAACCCCCACCUCUAUCGGUAAAUACCCUUUGUAGAGUCAUAGGAGUGUUCUGCUAAACUGGGAGAGGCUCAUCAUUUUAUCAAGAGUCCAAAGAGUACUUGGCAACGAUAAGGGAUCCAUGCCCAAGUUAUGAACUAACUUUGCCGGUGGAAAGGAGAGAGAAUGCAAAAGCAGAGAUUAGCCUGAUUAUAUAUAAGAGGAGGCUGAUGAGGAAAUAACUACCUCAGAGUUACUCUUAAGAGACAGCAGUAGUGAAAAGGAAGCACUGUUAACUUGAGGGCUGGCGGAGAAAUUGAGAAAUGAAUCUGCAAUGUUCAUGCAGGCCAGAUGACAGUGAAGGGAAGGAAGAGCAAAAUGGAUGAGCUAAGAAAGGAACACUAUAUAUAUUUCAUUUAC